Molecule: ribosomal RNA, 469 nt
Filed under: uncultured bacterium
Lineage: Bacteria
Description: partial 16S ribosomal RNA
Rfam family: Bacterial small subunit ribosomal RNA
Source: RNAcentral
GACGAACGCUGGCGGCGUGCUUAACACAUGCAAGUCGAACGGAAAGGCCCUGCUUUUGUGGGGUGCUCGAGUGGCGAACGGGUGAGUAACACGUGAGUAACCUGCCCUUGACUUUGGGAUAACUUCAGGAAACUGGGGCUAAUACCGGAUAGGAGCUCCUGCUGCAUGGUGGGGGUUGGAAAGUUUCGGCGGUUGGGGAUGGACUCGCGGCUUAUCAGCUUGUUGGUGGGGUAGUGGCUUACCAAGGCUUUGACGGGUAGCCGGCCUGAGAGGGUGACCGGCCACAGUGGGACUGAGAUACGGCCCAGACGCCUACGGGAGGCAGCAGUGGGGAAUAUUGCACAAUGGGCGGAAGCCUGAUGCAGCAACGCCGCGGGCGGGAUGACGGCCUUCGGGUUGUAAACCGCUUUCGCCUGUGACGAAGCGUGAGUGACGGUAAUGGGUAAAGAAGCGCCGGCUAACUACGUGC